This 253-nucleotide ribosomal RNA is filed under the name uncultured bacterium. Its description in RNAcentral is "partial 16S ribosomal RNA". It matches the Rfam family "Bacterial small subunit ribosomal RNA", at positions 524 to 776 of the family's 1533-position model. The record is from RNAcentral.
UACGUAGGUGGCAAGCGUUAUCCGGAUUUAUUGGGCGUAAAGGGAACGCAGGCGGUCUUUUAAGUCUGAUGUGAAAGCCUUCGGCUUAACCGGAGUAGUGCAUUGGAAACUGGGAGACUAGAGUGCAGAAGAGGAGAGUGGAACUCCAUGUGUAGCGGUGAAAUGCGUAGAUAUAUGGAAGAACACCAGUGGCGAAAGCGGCUCUCUGGUCUGUAACUGACGCUAAGGUUCGAAAGCGUGGGUAGCAAACAGG